Non-coding RNA from Ataeniobius toweri, 93 nucleotides. NCBI's taxonomy places the organism in Eukaryota, Metazoa, Chordata, Actinopteri, Cyprinodontiformes, Goodeidae. The record is from the annotation of a GenBank genome assembly.
GCGCGACGUUGGUGUAGGGGUUAAGCGCGUGACCACAUAUAGAGGCUAUAGUCCUCGAAGCGGCUGUCCAGGGUUCGAGUCCCGGACCCGGCG